GAUGAAGAACGUAGCGAAAUGCGAUAAGUAAUGUGAAUUGCAGAAUUCAGUGAAUCAUCGAAUCUUUGAACGCACAUUGCGCCCCUUGGUAUUCCGGGGGGCAUGCCUGUUCGAGCGUCAUUUCAACCCUCAAGCUCUGCUUGGUAUUGGGCUCCGUCCUCCUCGGACGCGCCUCAAAGACCUCGGCGGUGGCGUCUUGCCUCAAGCGUAGUAGAAACACCUCGCUUUGGAGUGCAUGGCGUCGCCCGCCGGACGAAACCUUUUGUAUUUUCUCAAAGGUUGACCUCGGAUCAGGUAGGGAUACCAGCUGAACUUAAGCAUAUCAAUAAGCGGAGGA
RNAcentral lists this unclassified non-coding RNA (337 nucleotides) under soil metagenome. RNAcentral describes it as "partial contains 5.8S ribosomal RNA, internal transcribed spacer 2, and large subunit ribosomal RNA". The stretch from base 1 to 120 matches the Rfam family "5.8S ribosomal RNA", at positions 35 to 154 of the family's 154-position model. The record is from RNAcentral.